RNAcentral lists this unclassified non-coding RNA (372 nucleotides) under soil metagenome. RNAcentral describes it as "partial contains 5.8S ribosomal RNA, internal transcribed spacer 2, and large subunit ribosomal RNA". The stretch from base 1 to 121 matches the Rfam family "5.8S ribosomal RNA", at positions 35 to 154 of the family's 154-position model. The record is from RNAcentral.
GAUGAAGAACGUAGUGAAAUGCGAUAAGUAAUGCGAAUUGCAGAAUUCCAGUGAGUCAUCGAAUCUUUGAACGCACAUUGCGCCCUUUGGUAUUCCGAAGGGCAUGCCUGUUCGAGCGUCAUUAUCACCCCUCAAGCCCUCGGCUUGGUGUUGGACGGUUUGGUGGAGGCCCCCUCGGGGGCUCCUGCCCCUCCCAAAGACAAUGACGGCGGCCUCGUUGGACCCCCGGUACACUGAGUUCUUCACGGGACACGUAUCGGACACAUGGGUUUACGGGACACGGUCUGCCUCCCCUCAGGGAGAAUCUUUCUAAGGUUGACCUCGGAUCAGGUAGGGAUACCCGCUGAACUUAAGCAUAUCAAAAGCGGAGGA